Hypanus sabinus (Atlantic stingray) is the source of this 2694-nucleotide long non-coding RNA. RefSeq lists it as uncharacterized. Lineage: Eukaryota; Metazoa; Chordata; Chondrichthyes; Myliobatiformes; Dasyatidae. The transcript has 6 exons. The record is from RefSeq and is a predicted model, not a curated record.
ACACAAGAGCAGGAACAAACCCCGCUGGGAGAUCUGGGGAGGCAUCUGGGUUUUAGAUUGGAGUGACUUUUGCGAUCUGGAGGCCUGGCAUGGUGCAUCUGACUUCCCGUUCUAUGGCUGGUCUGAGUCCCUGUGCAAUCUGGCUCAUCUUGAGCCAAGUGGCUGAUUCACAUUAUAUCUGGCACCUCCUCUGAAGAACAAGCUGAAGGGCUGACAAAAUGGUGAGUUGAUAAUGCACAAACAAGAGGAAAUCUGCAGAUGCUGGAAAUCAGAGCAACCCACAAAAAUUGCUGGAGGAACCCCAUCUUGAUGAAGGAACUCACUCCAAAAUGUCGACUGUACUGUUUUCCAUUGCCUGGCUUGCCGAGUGAUGCACCAUCAAUAACUCACUCUGAGACGUAAGGCGAGAUAUCGGCUUUUUGUGCAUUUACAGUAGAACAAAGAAAUGCAAUAAAAUCAAUAAAAAGCUACGCACGAAGACUGACAAAUAACUAAUAUGCAAAAGAAGACAAACUGUACGAAUACAGAAAAAUAAUAUUGAGAACAUGAGAGUGGGUCCAUCGGUUGUGGAAUCAGUUCAGUGUUGAGGCAACCUUCACAAAUUCAAUCAAAUAACUGAGAACGUGAACCCUUUACAAAUCCAUGAAGAACACUUCUUUGUAGCCCUGCUAUCUACAAGGAUGAAAGACUCCAUCUUGUAAAGAAUUGAUGGACUGUACAUUUUCAAUGUGCAUCAUGGCCUACAACAGACUGACUUGCUUCAUUAUCGAUCUGUCUACUGAACAUAAUUUUGUCAAUUUAUAAGUUGGCCAAUAAUGUAUUGUUGGUAACCUCUCGUUGCUCUGUCCUGUCUAUCUGAGGCCUCUUUAUGUUGAUGAAUAGCAUCUCAUCUUCUGAUAGCACAUAUUGUGGCCUUCCAGUAAGAUGGUGGCCCACUUGGUCCCAGUGGCCUCUCCAAGUCCAAAAACUGGUGCAAAUGUUUAUCUUAAAUGUUGUUUAUUGCGAUUACAAGACCCUGUUAGGUACUAUAAAAUACUGCAAGUCUGGUUCAUUGGUGAGACCAACAGCGAAGGAGUUGUGUGGCCUAGGUUGUUGCAUGGACCAGACCCUCAUGCUGCAGCAUCGCCUGUUACAGUUUCCCAGAUAGGAGGUGCCACAGGCAGUGUAGGAGGGAACAGAGAUGCAGCGGGCACACUGGAAUCAGUGCUGGGUUGGGUGCUGGCCCCCAAGGACAGCUGUCCCAUUGGUACUGCUCUCCAGUGUUCACUCCCUAGAAGACAAGCUGAUUUCCCUUCACCCGUGACUGAUCCAGUGUGAGAUGAGGAACUGCUAUGUACUUGCUUUUGCAGAAACAUGGCUCCAGGACGAUAUCCUGUGCACCAACAAACUUAAGGCAGUGGCACUCAGGGACUUGUGCUAUUGUUACGUUAUAACUGUGACUAUGGUGAGUGUACAGUGUGUGACAAUGUAGUGUGUUUUGCACCUUAGCGCAGAUGAAUUCUUUUAGCUGUAUAUAUAGUUGAUCUGUUCAGGGUCACGUGAAGCCAUGGGAGCAGGUGGUGGAUGGUUGUAUGAGCAGCUGGUGCAUAUCACAAGUCCUGGUUUUGCCGCUGACAUCAGGCAGACAAUCUCUGAAGACAACAGGUGUCCCCCAUUUUUCGAACGUUCGCUUUACAACAACUCACUGGUACGAAAGACCUACAUUCGUACCUGAUUUUGCUAACCAAAGAGGAUUUUCACUUUUACAAAAAAAAGACACCGGCUUUAUAUUGUGUUUACCCCGAGAAAGACUACAAUGACCGUGAAGCCUUGCGCGGGCAGUUGUUUGCGCAUGCGUGUACGUGCGUACGCAUGUGCGUACAUAUGCGUGUAUGUGCGUAGGCGUGUAUGUGCACAUGCAUGUACGUGCAGAUUUUUUUUCUCCAAAUCGAUUUUGGCUCGCUGUCUUGCCGAGUUUGGUAAGUGAAACUACACUGUACAUACAGUAUUUCUACAUUAUAUAAGAUGUAUAUUUAUCAUAUCAUUCCUGCUUUUACUAUAUGUUAGUGUUAUUUUAGGUUUUGUGUGUUAUUUGCUUUGAUUUGGUAGGGUAUUUUUUGGGUCUGGGAACGCUCAAAAAUUUUUCCCAUAUAAAUUAAUGGUAAUUGCUUCUUCGAUUUACGACAUUUUGGUUUUCAAACGGUUUCAUAGGAACACUGUACCUUCGGAUUGCGGGGGAAACCUGUAUUGAUAAUGGCUGGGGUCACCCAUCUUGUGAAGACAGUGUCCAGGAAAAGCAAUGGCAAACCUCUUCUGUAGAAUUUCCCAAGAAGAGAGACCAUGAUCACACACGUCAUACAACACAGCACAAUUGAUGAUGAUGGUGUUCUCACCUUAUCACAGAUGUUCCCUGUGUCCUUUCCAUCCCUCUGUAACCUAAACUAGCUUGUUUCCUCACUUUCCCAGUUCUGAUAAGGAUCUGAAACACUCCUCUGUCCAGAAAUGCUAACUGACCUGCUCAGAGUUUCCAGCAUUUUCUCCAGUAGGAUUGGUGGAUAUGUUGCUGAGAUUUGAGAACACAAGAGCUCUCAGGUAUUUUCCACCUGCAUGAAUGGAAGAAAUGUUUCUGACAGGAAAUGUUCCACGAGGUCCCGGGAAAAACAAUGAACCUCCAUGGAAAGACCAAAAUGGUAUUGUUGUUGACAGUAGUCAUGG